AUUGAACGCUGGCGGCAGGCCUAACACAUGCAAGUCGAACGAGCGGCGGACGGGUGAGUAAUGUAUGGGGAUCUGCCCGAUAGAGGGGGAUAACUACUGGAAACGGUAGCUAAUAACGCAUACUAUCGGAUGAACCCAUAUGGGAUUAGCUAGUUGGUGGGGUAAAGGCUCACCUAGGCGACUAUCUCUCGCUGGUCUGAGAGGAUGAUCAGCCACACUUGGACUGAGACACGGCCCAGACGCCUACGGGAGGCAGCAGUGGGGAAUAUUGCACAAUGGGCGCAAGCCUGAUGCAGCCAUGCCGCUGGUAUGAAGAAGGCCUUAGGGUUGUAAAGUACUUUCAGCGGGGAGGCGUUACCCGCAGAAGAAGCACCGGCUAACUCCGUGCCAGCAGCCGCGGUAAUAC
This 406-nucleotide ribosomal RNA is filed under the name uncultured bacterium. RNAcentral's name for it is "partial 16S ribosomal RNA". It matches the Rfam family "Bacterial small subunit ribosomal RNA", at positions 30 to 526 of the family's 1533-position model. The record is from RNAcentral.